This 253-nucleotide ribosomal RNA is filed under the name uncultured bacterium. Its description in RNAcentral is "partial 16S ribosomal RNA". It matches the Rfam family "Bacterial small subunit ribosomal RNA", at positions 524 to 776 of the family's 1533-position model. The record is from RNAcentral.
UACGUAGGGUGCGAGCGUUAAUCGGAAUUACUGGGCGUAAAGCGUGCGCAGGCGGUUUUGUAAGCCAGAUGUGAAAUCCCCGGGCUUAACCUGGGAACUGCAUUUGGGACUGCAAGGCUGGAGUACGGCAGAGGGAGGUGGAAUUCCACGUGUAGCAGUGAAAUGCGUAGAGAUGUGGAGGAAUACCGAUGGCGAAGGCAGCCCCCUGGGAUGAUACUGACGCUCAUGCACGAAAGCGUGGGGAGCAAACAGG